Molecule: ribosomal RNA, 253 nt
Filed under: uncultured bacterium
Lineage: Bacteria
Description: partial 16S ribosomal RNA
Rfam family: Bacterial small subunit ribosomal RNA
Source: RNAcentral
UACAGAGGUCUCAAGCGUUGUUCGGAUUCAUUGGGCGUAAAGGGUGCGUAGGUGGCGGGGCAAGUCAGGUGUGAAAUCCCGGGGCUCAACCCCGGAACUGCAUUUGAUACUGCCUUGCUCGAGUACUGGAGAGGAGACUGGAAUUUACGGUGUAGCAGUGAAAUGCGUAGAUAUCGUAAGGAAGACCAGUGGCGAAGGCGAGUCUCUGGACAGUUACUGACACUGAGGCACGAAGGCCAGGGGAGCAAACGGG